GAUGAACGCUGGCGGCGUGCCUAAUACAUGCAAGUCGAGCGAACAGACGAGGAGCUUGCUCCUCUGACGUUAGCGGCGGACGGGUGAGUAACACGUGGAUAACCUACCUAUAAGACUGGGAUAACUUCGGGAAACCGGAGCUAAUACCGGAUAAUAUAUUGAACCGCAUUGUUCAAUAGUUAAAGACGGUUUUGCUGUCACUUAUAGAUUGAUCCGCGCCGCAUUAGCUAGUUGGUAAGGUAACGGCUUACCAAGGCAACGAUUCGUAGCCGACCUGAGAGGGUGAUCGGCCACACGGGAACUGAGACAGGGCACAGACACCUACGGGAGGAAGCAGUAGGGAAUCUUCCGCAAGGGGCGAAAGCUUGACGGAGCAAAGCCGCGUGAGGGAUGAAGGUCUUCGGAUCGUAAAACUCUGUUAUUAGGGAAGAACAAAUGUGUAAGUAACUAUGCACGUCUUGACGGUACCUAAUCAGAAAGCCACGGCUAACUACGUG
This 497-nucleotide ribosomal RNA is filed under the name uncultured bacterium. Its description in RNAcentral is "partial 16S ribosomal RNA". It matches the Rfam family "Bacterial small subunit ribosomal RNA", at positions 28 to 507 of the family's 1533-position model. The record is from RNAcentral.